AAAAGUCCAUUUCAAAACUAUGCAUUUGCCACACUUCUCACCACUUGUAAUAAGUCUUAAAUCACAUUUGGGAGGUGUUUGGCUAAUUUUCCAUGCACUGUAGCAGCAUCUCAUGCGCAUGAAGGUUAUUUUGGCCAAUUGCACAUAAACACUCAUUUCACUAAUCACUUUGGUUUUGGCUAAGCUUGAUUAACAAAAAGGAUUAACAGCACCUAUAUAUUCCUAAUCCUAACUGAAUUUCUG
Molecule: long non-coding RNA, 243 nt
Filed under: Lathyrus oleraceus (garden pea)
Lineage: Eukaryota; Viridiplantae; Streptophyta; Magnoliopsida; Fabales; Fabaceae
Description: Pisum sativum (pea) long non-coding RNA (PSAT_LNC006759)
Source: RNAcentral